UACGUAGGGGGCAAGCGUUGUCCGGAUUUAUUGGGCGUAAAGAGCGUGUAGGCGGCCAGGUAGGUCAGCUGUGAAAACUCGAGGCUCAACCUCGAGACGCCGGUUGAAACCAUCUGGCUAGAGUCCGGAAGAGGAGAGUGGAAUUCCUGGUGUAGCGGUGAAAUGCGCAGAUAUCAGGAAGAACACCCGUGGCGAAGGCGGCUCUCCGGGACGGUACUGACGCUGAGACGCGAAAGCGUGGGGAGCAAACAGG
Molecule: ribosomal RNA, 253 nt
Filed under: uncultured bacterium
Lineage: Bacteria
Description: partial 16S ribosomal RNA
Rfam family: Bacterial small subunit ribosomal RNA
Source: RNAcentral